Long non-coding RNA from Episyrphus balteatus (marmalade hoverfly), 699 nucleotides. RefSeq lists it as uncharacterized. NCBI's taxonomy places the organism in Eukaryota, Metazoa, Arthropoda, Insecta, Diptera, Syrphidae. The transcript is spliced from 2 exons. The record is from RefSeq and is a predicted model, not a curated record.
UAAUAAUGACAGUAUCUAUAGAGACGAGCUGUAUAAAACUAUGUCAAAUUUUGUUAUCCUUCCAAGAUUCGUUCUCGAUGGAAAAUGCACACCUCUUCGUUAGAGACGGGGCUACCUUUGAUGUCAAAAAUGUUUUAGACAAGGUGCCGCUCUGUUAUGCGAUCCACGCCAAUACCAGAAGCACAAUAUUUCACAAGUCCUUUUUUUAAACAAACAACCUUAAACUACUUUGAUUUUAAGGAAAUCGAAAAUAAAAAACUAACAAAAAAAUAAAUAUUUGUCAAAAUUUACGAAAAAGUUUGAUUUGUUAUUUUUUUUUUUUGCUUAUAAAUUAUAUUUGUUAUGGUUCGGAAAAUUCAAAGAAAUUCUCGAAGGCGCACCUCAAGCAGACGAAGAAAUGCUCGCAGACAAAGACGAAGACCAAGAAAAGAAUCAAAACUUGAAACUCUCAUGAAACAGCAUGUACGAAAAUUGGGAAAAAGUUUUCGUGUUACAUGAUGAGCAUACCUCUACCUUUACCACCUCUCAAUUGUGUACGCAAAUUGAAAAACCAAGAAGAAAAGUCUCAUGUCAAACAUUCCUGUGAACAUUUCCUCAUUUUCAUCAUCAUCAUUUCUUGUCCUUUUCUCUUUUUUUGUGUGUGUGACAUAAAUUUAAGAUAUUCAUAUUAAAGGAUCAUUGUUCUCAUCUAUAAUCCAA